CGACCCUCAAGCUUUGCUUGGUGUUGGGUAGAGUCCUUAGGGGACCCACCCGUAACUUGUAGGCGGCCAUUGGUGGCUCCCCUAGCGUAGCAGGCUUAACGCACUCGCUAGAGGGUGGCUCGGGUGGCCCGCCCAAAACUUAUUUUUCAAG
RNAcentral lists this unclassified non-coding RNA (151 nucleotides) under uncultured Pezizomycetes. Its description in RNAcentral is "sequence contains ITS2". Lineage: Eukaryota; Fungi; Ascomycota; Pezizomycetes. The record is from RNAcentral.